AGAAGAUGAAUAUUAUGAUCUUAGGUGCAUUGUAGUUGCAUUGCAUGUUAUUCAAAGUGCAGUGUCUCUCCAGUGCAACUUAGCGCAUAAUUUCACACCUCU
Non-coding RNA from Tribolium castaneum (red flour beetle), 102 nucleotides. RefSeq annotates it as microRNA mir-33. NCBI's taxonomy places the organism in Eukaryota, Metazoa, Arthropoda, Insecta, Coleoptera, Tenebrionidae. The record is from RefSeq and is marked provisional. The transcript has a single exon.